Molecule: ribosomal RNA, 253 nt
Filed under: uncultured bacterium
Lineage: Bacteria
Description: partial 16S ribosomal RNA
Rfam family: Bacterial small subunit ribosomal RNA
Source: RNAcentral
GACGGAGGGGGCUAGCGUUGUUCGGAAUGACUGGGCGUAAAGGGCGCGUAGGCGGUUUUUUAAGUGAGGCGUGAAAGCCCUGGGCUUAACCCAGGAGGUGCGUUUCAUACUGGAAGACUUGAGUACGAGAGAGGAAAGUGGAAUUUCUAGUGUAGAGGUGAAAUUCGUAGAUAUUAGAAAGAACACCAGUGGCGAAGGCGGCUUUCUGGCUCGUAACUGACGCUGAGGUGCGAAAGCAUGGGGAGCGAACAGG